GUUUUAAUAGCUUAAUUUAAAGUGGAGUUUUGAAGAAGCUCAGUUGUUGGUUUCCUUCUUGAAACA
This 66-nucleotide transfer RNA is filed under the name Schmidtea mediterranea. Its description in RNAcentral is "tRNA-Phe". The record is from RNAcentral. Lineage: Eukaryota; Metazoa; Platyhelminthes; Tricladida; Dugesiidae.